AACGCACCUUGCGCUCCUUGGUAUUCCGAGGAGCAUGCCUGUUUGAGUGUCAUUAAAUUCUCAAUCUCUACAACUUUUGUUGUUAGCAGGUUGGAUGUGGGGGUUUAUUGUGGGCGUUACAACCUACUCCCCUGAAAUGAAUUAGCUGGAAUGCCUCGGCAAAUCCAACUAUCAGUGUGAUAAAUAUCUUACUGUAGUUGUUGCUUUUGAGGGUAUCCGCUUCUCAACUGUCUGCAAAGACAACUUGAAUCAUUUUGACCUCAAAUCAGGUAGGACUACCCGCUGAACUUAA
This 292-nucleotide unclassified non-coding RNA is filed under the name uncultured fungus. RNAcentral's name for it is "partial contains 5.8S ribosomal RNA, internal transcribed spacer 2, and large subunit ribosomal RNA". The stretch from base 1 to 52 matches the Rfam family "5.8S ribosomal RNA", at positions 103 to 154 of the family's 154-position model. Lineage: Eukaryota; Fungi. The record is from RNAcentral.